This 482-nucleotide ribosomal RNA is filed under the name uncultured bacterium. Its description in RNAcentral is "partial 16S ribosomal RNA". It matches the Rfam family "Bacterial small subunit ribosomal RNA", at positions 28 to 508 of the family's 1533-position model. The record is from RNAcentral.
GAUGAACGCUGGCGGCGUGCCUAACACAUGCAAGUCGAACGGAGAUUACGGACGGAAGUUUUCGGAUGGAAGCCUGUAAUUCUUAGUGGCGGACGGGUGAGUAACGCGUGGGCAACCUGCCCUAUACAGGGGGAUAGCAGCUGGAAACGGCUGGUAAGACCGCAUAAGUCGGUUAAAUCGCAUGAUUUGAUCGGGAAAUGAGCAAUCAGGUAUAGGAUGGGCCCGCGUCCGAUUAGCCAGUUGGCAGGGUAAAAGCCUACCAAAGCGACGAUCGGUAGCCGGACUGAGAGGUCGGACGGCCACAUUGGGACUGAGGCACGGCCCAAACUCCUACGGGAGGCAGCAGUGGGGGAUAUUGCACAAUGGAGGAAACUCUGAUGCAGCGACGCCGCGUGAGUGAAGAAGUAUUGCGGUAUGUAAAGCUCUAUCAGCAGGGAAGAUGAUGACGGUACCUGACUAAGAAGCCCCGGCUAACUACGUGC